Molecule: ribosomal RNA, 351 nt
Filed under: uncultured bacterium
Lineage: Bacteria
Description: bacterial SSU rRNA
Rfam family: Bacterial small subunit ribosomal RNA
Source: RNAcentral
GGGCCCGCACAAGCGGUGGAGCAUGUGGAUUAAUUCGAAGCAACGCGAAGAACCUUACCUAGCCUUGACAUCCUUGGAACCUACCCUAAACGGUGGGGUGUCCUUCGGGAAAUCAAGUGACAGGUGCUGCAUGGCUGUCGUCAGCUCGUGUCGUGAGAUGUUGGGUUAAGUCCCGCAACGAGCGCAACCCUUGUCUUUAGUUGCCAGCAUUUAGUUGGGCACUCUAGAGAGACUGCCGGUGUCAAGCCGGAGGAAGGUGGGGACGACGUCAAGUCAUCAUGGCCCUUACGGCUAGGGCUUCACACGUGCUACAAAUGGACGAUACAAAGGGUUGCGAAGCCGCGAGGUGAG